GCGAGCUUCUAAAGUCCAGGUAUUUUUAUUUUUAUUUUUUUCUAUUAUAUAGAAAAGGAAAGAUGGUCGACCACGGACAAAAUUGUUAUUUUGCUCAAAGGAAAAUUGUCAUUUUGCUCAAAGAAAAAAAGUGCCUGUAACAAUGCUAACUCCACCUCUUACGACCUUUUUUCCGGCAUUCCGACCUCCAUAUGGGUCUAGAAACAUCGCUCUUCCGACUUUCAUCUUUUCUAUUCCAACAGAUCGGAUCAGUUCUCCUUCUUCAAACUUUCAAUAAUAUUCUUAGCUCUUUUUAUCUUCUUAUUUAUCUAUUACAUUUCAGGAAUCAUUAUCUCAAUCUCUGCUCCAUCUCUUUCUUUCUUUGUUUCUUUUAGAUCUUUUUAACUAUUUCCAAUUUCAUGGAUAAAUUUCCUUGAAUUUCGUGUUUUCCAACCAGACGAUGCGGAAUCACCAUUUUAAGGGUUAUUAUCUGUCCAAUUUCAUUGUUGUUACCUUCUUCUCGCUUCUUAAGGUAUUGACAUUUAUUAUUCUGCUAACUUAAAAACAAAAGGGAUAUUUAGUUUUACUCCUAAUGCAUGAUGUUCUUCCGUUUCUUUACUUUUUUUUUCUUUUUGUAUAUGUUAUGUUUUCAUGUAUCGUGAAUAGCGAGUAUGUUUCCAGUAAUAACUGCUUCUUCACACACACCCUCAUUCUCCAUAGCCGGGGGAAAAGAAAAAUUGGAACUCGUGAUAACCUAAUUUUGAUAAAGCACUAAAAUUGGUGUAUGAGUUGAGAUUGACAUAAAUUGGAUGAAUUACUAUUGAAAAAAUUUUGUGCAUGUGAAUUUUUAUUGACAGAUAUUAUUCAUUAUUUCAUGUCUUAGGAAGGGUUAACAAGGCUCAAGAUGAUUUGGGAACUCUUCUUAGAAGUUGUGUUCGAGCAACAUCUGUUUGUUUGAAUUUAAAUUCGUUUAUCUAGCUAGGAAUUUAUGGAAUAGGGAAGGUAUGUUAAAGGACCUGUUAUGGGAUUGCUUUAUAUGAUAACUCAUUGUUGUUGGUGGGAUUUGAGAGUAAAGGAAUGGAGGAGUAGGUAAUAGAGUACUUAGGAUUGAUAUAGAUUGUAUGAAGUUGCAACAAUAUCCAACAACUUUGAGAAGCAGACAAGAGGGAUGUAGAUGUAAGGGCAUGUAUACCUUAGCCAAGGAAGUAGCUUAAUUUAUUUAUUUUACUUUUUAUUCCCUGUUAUUUGGCAUUUACUAAUACAAUGUGUAUUCAACAAUAAAUUAUAGUUGUUUGUGUGAGCACCUAAUUUUUGAUCGUGCUUGAAUUUUCG
Molecule: long non-coding RNA, 1311 nt
Filed under: Nicotiana tabacum (common tobacco)
Lineage: Eukaryota; Viridiplantae; Streptophyta; Magnoliopsida; Solanales; Solanaceae
Description: long non-coding RNA (NTAB_LNC000878)
Source: RNAcentral